Molecule: ribosomal RNA, 470 nt
Filed under: uncultured bacterium
Lineage: Bacteria
Description: bacterial SSU rRNA
Rfam family: Bacterial small subunit ribosomal RNA
Source: RNAcentral
CAGGCCUAACACAUGCAAGUCGAACGGCUCGCAAGAGCAGUGGCAAACGGGUGCGUAACGCGUAAGCAACCUGCCCUCAACUGGGGGAUAGCCCGGCGAAAGCUGGGGUAAACCCGCACGGUCCCAAAAGAUCACCUGAUUUUAUGGGUAAACAUUAAUGGGUUGAGGAGGGGCUUGCGUCUGAUUAGCUAGUUGGCGGGGUAACGGCUCACCAAGGCGAUGAUCAGUAGGGGUUCUGAGAGGAUUGGCCCCCACAUGGGUACUGAGAUACGGACCCAACUCCUACGGGAGGCAGCAGUAGGGAAUAUUGGGCAAUGGAGGCAACUCUGACCCAGCCAUGCCGCGUGCAGGAUGAAGGCGCUCAGCGUUGUAAACUGCUUUUAUCUGGGAAGAACAGCAGGGAUGCGUCCUUGUGUGACGGUACCAGAGGAAUAAGCACCGGCUAACUCCGUGCCAGCAGCCGCGGUAAU